AAUAGCUUAGAACAUCAAAGCGAUGCACUUUCCUCUAUCUAUCCGUUGCAAGCAGAGUAUUAAUAGCCUCCUGUCUCCAGCUGGUAUUGUACAAUAUAGUGUUCAAUAUCUUACCUGAAGCUUCCAAGAUCGGACGUUUACUUGCAUUGAAUGUACUUUGGUAGCUAAACUAUUCAUUGGAUAGGAUGGCUAGGCUUCCACAAGGUCCUUACUGAACUUGUAACCUGGUGGCAACCAACCAGAUAACC
This is a long non-coding RNA of Pieris napi, 248 nucleotides long. RefSeq lists it as uncharacterized. The transcript is spliced from 2 exons. The record is from RefSeq and is a predicted model, not a curated record. Lineage: Eukaryota; Metazoa; Arthropoda; Insecta; Lepidoptera; Pieridae.